RNAcentral lists this long non-coding RNA (253 nucleotides) under Homo sapiens (human). Its description in RNAcentral is "HSALNT0304773". The record is from RNAcentral. Lineage: Eukaryota; Metazoa; Chordata; Mammalia; Primates; Hominidae.
GAGAAAAAUUCACAAGCCUCAAAAGUGUUUAUUACAUCUGACCUAUGUGGGCAAAAUUCCUGUGCUUUUUAGUAGAGUCCCAGCUCCACUUACGCUGUGUAAAGUUUCAAGAGAGUAAUGAUAAAACCCAGCUCAUCUUUGAUUCAGUGACCAACAUACCAGCAAAGGAUGCAGCACCAGUGGAGAAAAUAGACACCAUGCUGGUCUUGGAAGGCAGUGGAAACCUGGUGCUAUACACAGGAGUGGUUCGGGU